Molecule: ribosomal RNA, 375 nt
Filed under: uncultured bacterium
Lineage: Bacteria
Description: bacterial SSU rRNA
Rfam family: Bacterial small subunit ribosomal RNA
Source: RNAcentral
UAAUACGUAGGGGGCUAGAGUUGUCCGGAUUUACUGGGUGUAAAGGGUGCUCAGGUGGAUUUGUAAGUCAGAGGUGAAAUCCCAAAGCUUAACUUUGGUGCUGCCUUUGAUACUGCAAGUCUUGAGUUUGAGAGAGGAUAAUGGAAUAUCUGGUGUAGCAGUGAAAUGCGUAGAUAUCAGAUAGAACACCAAUGGCGAAGGCAGUUAUCUGGCUCAAAACUGACGCUAAAGCACGAAAGUGUGGGGAGCAAACAGGAUUAGAUACCCUGGUAGUCCACACCCUAAACGAUGAAUACUAGAUGUUGGUCUUUUUUAAGAUCAGUAUCCAAGCUAACGCAUUAAGUAUUCCACCUGGGAAGUACAAUCGCAAGGUUG